RNAcentral lists this long non-coding RNA (3654 nucleotides) under Canis lupus familiaris (dog). RNAcentral describes it as "lncRNA (ENSCAFG00845005504.1)". The record is from RNAcentral. Lineage: Eukaryota; Metazoa; Chordata; Mammalia; Carnivora; Canidae.
UUUUUUUAUUCUGGAUAAAAAUAAACAUAAGUAUCUCAAACACUCCAAAAUAAUUUACAGGGUGGAUGAAAAAUAGAAAAUGGAGGGGUGCCUGGGUGGCUCAGUUGGUUAAGCAUCCAACUCUUGAAUUUCGGCUCCGGGCAUGACCUCAGGGUCCGGAGAUCGAGCCCCUGAUAUUCCUUCUAGGCGGCAAGAGAUUUCAUUUAACCUUCAUUUGACACACACUGAUCUAGGUCUGGGGACUCAAAGGUAUACCAGAUACACUUCCUGUCCUGGGAGCUCACGGCCGGGGAGACAGACACAAGAAUAGGUAAUUGUAUCUCUGAGGUAAGUGCCAGGAUAAAAAUAGGCUCCUCGUGUUAUGGGAGCUCGGUGUGGGCCGGAAGGCUUCCCGAUGGCCACGACACCCGAGCAGAGAGCAGAGUCGUAAGGGAGAUCUGGUCAGGGCAGAGGAAGGGCAUGCCAGGGCAGGGGGCUGCACGUGCAGAGGUACAAAGGUGAGAAGCAACGGGGCAGGAGCACACUGUGCGGGAAGGCGGCCUAUGCUGAAGGCAGGGCCCAUCUGGGGAGCGUGGUCUCCAUCCUGCAGGGCACGGUGGGGAGUGGGGAAGGCCAUGUGGAAAUCUGUGCUCUAGGUAGAUCAUGGAGGCUGGUGGAGCUGGGAUUUGAGGAUCACAGGGCUGGGCACAGGGGGAUGAUGAGAAAGCUGUUGCGAGGGCCCAGAGGGAGAAGGGGCACCCCUGUGAUCCAGGAGCCUGGCAGGAGUCCUUUGCAUGCCAUCUUUGCACACACAGUGUGAGCAGAUCCAGCUUCUCCAGUUCCUUUUUCAGAAACAGACUCCUGAUCGAUGAUUCUUGACCUCUGAAAGCAUUGGUUCACACAGCCACUCAAUCGCUCCUGGAAGUUUUUUUUGCUAUUUUCAUAGAAUGGAUAUCAAAAUUCAUUUUGAUCAAAGUAUUUCAUUAGCUUUUGACUUUUCAGUGAGCAGCAAAGAGUCACCACUGAAUCAAGAACCUUUUGUUCUGUCAGCUAAUAUCAAGUAAGGAGCUUCUUUAAAAAGAAAUCCUGAUUAUACAAUCAUGAAUAAUCAUGAUGAAGAUAAAAAGAGGGAAGGAACAGAGGAGUCCAGUGUGCCAGCACGAGCUCCCUGUUGAGCUAAUUUUUUGAGAGGAUGGACAAAAUGUAGAGGAAAGAGCGUAAUCAGAGAUGAAUCCUGGAACAUGACACAAUCCCGAAAAAUACCGUCAGGAAGACCAUGCUGUGGUUUGCUGGAAAUCCUAAGGAAAACAAAACAGGCCUUCAUAGUGCCUUUGAUCAAAAUGAAUUUUGAUAUCCAUCCUAUGGACAAGAAGAAUGAGAGGGUGGAUCCACUGCAUAGGGGACUGCACAAGGUUGUGCAGCUCAGGAGGCACCUACACUCCCUGUCGUGGACAGAAGAGCAGCCACCAUACACCAUCAGGCUGCUGAUAAGAGGGCCUGGGGCUGGGGAACUGGAGACUCCACUGAUGCAGGUGGGGGGCAGGAGAGCAACUGGCCCUGGCACACUCCUAUUUCCAUGUGGCAGGACUUCAGCUUAACGACUAUAAGGAAUUCCCAACCUUUUGGAGGUGGUAAUGUCCUGUGGUGGCUGGAAAAAAUGAUCACAACCAGGGGGGCUUAAAACAAGACAUUUAUUCUCUUGUGGUUCUGGAGGCCAGAGUCAGGCAUCAAGGUGCGGCAGGACCUUCAACCCUGCACAGACUCUAAGGGAGGAUCCUUUCUGGCCUCUCCCAACUUCUGCUGGCUCUAGGCAUUUCUUGGCUGGUGGCCACCCGGUCCUGCUGCAGUGUCUGCCUCUGUCUUCACAGGGCCACGUCCUCUGUGUGGGUCUCUCUACUCCACAGGUCUCUUUAAGGACACUUGUCAUUGGAUUUAGGGCCCACCUGGCUAAUCCAAGUUGAUCUCAUCUCAAGGCCCGUCAUUACAUCUGAAAAGACCCUUUUCCCAAGUCAGGGAACAACUUACAGGUUGCAGGGAUUCGCAUGUGGACAUAUCUCUUGUGGGACCACCAUUCAACCCACUACGAGAUCAUAAACCACUUUCAGAAUCUGAUGAGAACCAGUGAACUGUGAAUCAUGUCACUGCUGGGCACUGAGGCUGAGACGAGGGUUCUUGAACAAGCAAUUUAUGGAGGGAGCGCUCUAAGAAGGGGAGAAAAGAAAGGAAGCGAGGGCAGGGGUCAGAAGCUCAGUAAGAAAUGGCCUCAGCUGGAGACUAGCUUGCACCUGGUCUCAUGAGCUGCCCUAGAGCAUGAAUUGCACUAGUGUUGUUCCCACCUGGAGGCAAGGGGUGGCCUUUGUACCCCCAAGUCAGUCAGGUUCCCUGGUGGGGGGCAGGUAGAGUCUCUGUGACCAGGAGCUCCCUCUAGGCCAAGAAGAAUUCAUAAAAGAAGUGGGCAGGAACACUCACAGCAGCCCUUGAGGGUAGGUCAAAGGGAUCUGGUCAACGCCCCACAUCUGCAGACUCUCUAGAAAAAUCACACACACACCCCAUUCAAUCUCAGGGACUUAGGCCCUCUAAGGCCUUAGACUCUAGGUUUAGGACCUGUGACCACUGCUGACCUAACACUUUGGGUCCCUCAUCUCCCAGAGGAAUGACUGGUGAUGUCUGGGAGGUGGACGGAGCACCCUCAAAUUGAUCCUCUUCUGACUGAACUUCCUGCGGAGCAGGCCUCCUGCCCUACGGAGGGGCUGCCUCAGGGUGAGGGAGAUGACUUCAAAGGAAAGUCCCUUUGGCCACAGAUGCACAGCCCUCCUUUCUAAUCAGCUUUUCAGUGAUACAGCUAAUAGCUUAAUCUCCACCUGUCCCACUCCUACCUCUCUCAAGCAGUUCUGAAUCCUGGCAGGAUAUUCACAAACCUGCUAAGACCCCAAGUCAUGUCAUCAGACAGUGCCUCUCAAACUACGAUUGGUAGGUUGGCUACCCGACCGCUUGCCCCAGGGUAUGAUGGACCCACUGCUUCCUCACUGGUCAAGCUUGUGCCAGAACAGUUGGCUGACCUCAACAGUGUACGCUGUGAUGCAGAGGGCUUGCGUGCUACGCAAACUCGCUUCCUUGCGGACAGGCACUUUGAGCAGCACUGACAGAGGCAAUUGUGGACAAUCCUGGGAGGCUGAUGAGACAGGUGGGCACCACCUGAAGGGCUCUCAUCUGAAACAGGGGGGACAGUGUAUUGAGCAUAAGUUAAAAAGGGGCAACAUCUGACUCAAAAUAAUGCUAUGGUAACAUUAAUGCUUAAUGGGGAAUCGUUCAGAGCCUUCACCACCGCUGCUGGAUCCUGGAGGCCUUGUCAGGGCAGUGGGCAGGUAUGAGGGCCAUACGGGGAAGGACCUGGAAGGACUUGUGGGGAAGCAGACCAGAGUGGAGACAAGGGAAGGUGCUGGAAAGGGAAGUCCUGUGGGUGAGACGUGGGAGCAGAGUGAGGGUUACUGUGUUUUGGAGAGCAGCUGCCAUCGUGGGGGAGGGGAGGGACUAAGCGGAGACGGAACUGCCAUGGAAGGUCUCUCAUUAGCCUGGGCCCUUUGGCAGGUCCUAGUAAUGUGCUCAUGUUUUUGUAAAAUUUUUUAAAAGAUUUUAUUUAUUUAUUCAUGAGAGACACAGAGAGGGAGGCAGAGA